UGGGGAAUCUUGGACAAUGGGGGCAACCCUGAUCCAGCCAUGCCGCGUGAGUGAUGAAGGCCUUAGGGUCGUAAAGCUCUUUCGCCUGUGAAGAUAAUGACGGUAGCAGGUAAAGAAACCCCGGCUAACUCCGUGCCAGCAGCCGCGGUAAUACGGAGGGGGUUAGCGUUGUUCGGAAUUACUGGGCGUAAAGCGCACGUAGGCGGACCAGAAAGUUGGGGGUGAAAUCCCGGGGGCUCAACCCCCGAACUGCCUCCAAAACUAUUGGUCUAGAGUUCGAGAGAGGUGAGUGGAAUUCCAAGUGUAGAGGUGAAAUUCGUAGAUAUUUGGAGGAACACCAGUGGCGAAAGGCGGCUCACUGGCUCGAUACUGACGCUGAGGUGCGAAAAGUGUGGGGAGCAAAACAGGAUUAGAUACCCUGGUAGUCCACACCGUAAAACGAUGAAUGCCAGUCGUCGGGUAGCAUGCUAUUCGGUGACACACCUAACGGAUUAAGCAUUCCGCCUGGGGAGUACGGUCGCAAGAUU
RNAcentral lists this ribosomal RNA (527 nucleotides) under uncultured bacterium. RNAcentral's name for it is "bacterial SSU rRNA". It matches the Rfam family "Bacterial small subunit ribosomal RNA", at positions 355 to 895 of the family's 1533-position model. The record is from RNAcentral.